RNAcentral lists this ribosomal RNA (389 nucleotides) under Tigriopus fulvus. RNAcentral's name for it is "partial small subunit ribosomal RNA". Lineage: Eukaryota; Metazoa; Arthropoda; Copepoda; Harpacticoida; Harpacticidae. The record is from RNAcentral.
GCGGUUAUACUUCUUCUUCAACUCAAAAAUUCUAAAUAAAGUGUAUCAAAUUACUUUGUCUAAUAAUAAAAUUUACAAAUUUAAUUUUAGAAAUUAUCGGUUAAAUUGGAUUAGUACCCAAGUAAAUAAAUUAAUUAAUUAAGGUAAGACCUAAACUAAAUGGCCGUAUUAUUUUUAAAGCAGAGAAACUUGAAAUUUAGAAAAUCCACUCUAUUAUUAAUCUUAUAAAAGUUUAAGUAUGGCUGUCUAAAAAUAAAUCUUCAUUUAGAUUCAUAGUCAAGCAACAUUUAACUUAUGAGAAGAUUGUGAGUUGCAACAAAAAAAUUAUUAUAAGUUAUAAAAAUUAGGAUUUGCAAGUAAAAAAGAUUCUUGAAAUAACUCUAAGUACA